Long non-coding RNA from Taeniopygia guttata (zebra finch), 1341 nucleotides. RefSeq lists it as uncharacterized. The record is from RefSeq and is a predicted model, not a curated record. Lineage: Eukaryota; Metazoa; Chordata; Aves; Passeriformes; Estrildidae.
GGGGGCUCGCGCCGGUCCGUCCCGCGGGGGCUCCGCGCCCCCCCCGCUCUGCCCGCCGGGCCGGGGGCGCAGCGCCCGCCGGCAGCGCCGGCCGCGGGGCGGGAGCGGCAAUAACAACAACAAUAACAACAAUAACAACAAUAACAACAACAACAACAACAACAGCUACAGCACCGCACACCGCAGGACACGCACCGCCGCGGCCCCCGGGGCUCCAAGGUGCCCACAGCCCUUCCCCAACGUGGCACCGCCGCCGCGGCGCUGCCAGCACUGCCCCGGACGCGCUGUCACCUCCGAGCGACUUAACGGUGCCGGCCUACCCCGCGUCCCGGCCUCGCGCCCCGGCUGUCCCGCAGUGGCAUCCGCGCCUUCCCCGGGGGUUCCCGGCCCGCCGUGGGCACCGCACCCCUCGCCCUCCCAGCCGGGAGCGCGCCCCGCCGCCCCGCACUCACAGCCGGGAGCGCGCCCUGCCGCGCUGCGCCCCGCGGAGCCGCCGCCGGGCCGGGGUCGGUCGGGCCAAAGCUAAAACUCAGAACGGCUUGACAUCAUUAGAAACGAGAGCGUUCAGUCAAUUUCUCACCCUCUGCCUGGAAAAGCAAGAAGGACCCCAAACAACAUAAACAGCAAAGAGAAAAUCAGCAGCAAGUUCACUUUGUGGAAUACAGGUCUGUUGCAAUAUCGUGUUUCACCCACUGAUUAUAGGAAACAUUCAUAACCUGGAGUCUUGCUUGUUACAAAGACAUUAAAUCUAAAAGUAUAUGACAUAAGAAAAAUGUUUUGCUUAAAAUAGAUUUCUUAUCCUUUAUAUCCCUUGUCUGCCCCAGUUCUUUGAGUCUGUUACUCUUGGGGUCAAUAUGAGUAUGUAGAGUUCACCGGAGAAACCAUAACUGGGAUUAAAGGAAUGAGUCAGAGGAAGGAAAAAGUCAAAACAGGAUCAAGAUACCUCUGCACUGGCUUGAAGCAGCUAUAUUAAAGGGACUAUGUUUACUCCAAUAAAAACUGCACGUGGCAAAAAUAUCUUGAGUGAAGAGGGUAAAUGGAGCAUUUAAAAACAAAAUACUAAUUAAAAAUACCCAUUGAGCAAUCAAUCAUUUCAUAAUGUGCUCAUGUAUGCAUGUGGUCACAUCCAGGCACUUCCAGUUCUGAAAGCCAACGUCACUGAGGAUGUCUGAAAUUAAGGAUACUUGAGUUGCCACUACAUCCUAUUGCUCUUCAUUCCUCUGCUAGCAGGAGCAUUGGGUGUUCUUUGUCAAGCUGCGCCUAGCACUUCUCUCAAAAUAAGCAGUUGUAUGCCACCUGAGAAGCUGAAACCAAUUAUUAAAGAUUACUCAUUUCUAUAAA